GCCGGGGAUUCAGGAGGCUGUGUGUUGGGGGUCAGUGGCCCCAGUGUGUUGUUGUGGGUUGAGCGGUGCUUGUCCAGUCUAUCAGUUAGAAAAGAGUCCCAAGUCAAGGUUUCCACCCUCGGCAGGUCAGGGCAUCUCUGCUGGCCUUUCUCAGCUUCACGGUGGUCCGUGAGUUUGUUCCGAGCGGAGGACAGGACUGUAAAAAGGAGGGGGGGGGGGCUGGCGUUCCCAGCGGGGUCUGGCGCGUGCGCGCACGACCUGCGGGGAAAAGGGCGCACCUUUGGGAUCAAGAGGAAGAGUGAUUGGCACUGUGGCCAUAGGCUCCAAGUCCUUGGGAGGAUGCCAUGGAAACAGAAGGGAGCUUCACUCCACUCUACCUCCUCUGAGCGCAGCUCUUCUCGGCGGGACCCACGCCCUCAUUAAACACUUGAAUGGAUCAGUGUGUAUGAGCCAUCCCAGUCUCAAAAAUACGCAUGAGAGAUGGGAAAUCUGGCUCUACCAGGAGUAAAGCUUCUUAUCGACUGUACGAAGAAGGAAUCAAGAUAGUGCCAGGAUAGAAAGAAAAUGCUUGGUGGAAAGAUACAGCCCGGUCUCCAUGGACGGUUGAGUUAUAACAAAGGUGGCAGGCUCCACAAAGCAUUAGGGGAAAGGACUCGCUUUCUGUAGGCUAUUCUGGGGCAGUUG
This is a long non-coding RNA of Nannospalax galili (Upper Galilee mountains blind mole rat), 684 nucleotides long. RefSeq lists it as uncharacterized. The record is from RefSeq and is a predicted model, not a curated record. NCBI's taxonomy places the organism in Eukaryota, Metazoa, Chordata, Mammalia, Rodentia, Spalacidae. The transcript has 2 exons.